Molecule: ribosomal RNA, 432 nt
Filed under: uncultured bacterium
Lineage: Bacteria
Description: partial 16S ribosomal RNA
Rfam family: Bacterial small subunit ribosomal RNA
Source: RNAcentral
AGCGAACGCUGGCGGCAGGCCUAACACAUGCAAGUCGAACGAACCUUUCGGGGUUAGUGGCGGACGGGUGAGUAACACGUGGGAACGUGCCUUUAGGUUCGGAAUAACUCAGGGAAACUUGUGCUAAUACCGAAUGUGCCCUUCGGGGGAAAGAUUAAUCGCCUUUAGAGCGGCCCGCGUCUGAUUAGCUAGUUGGUUGAGGUAAUGGCUCACCAAGGCGACGAUCAGUAGCUGGUCUGAGAGGAUGAUCAGCCACAUUGGGACUGAGACACGGCCCAAAACUCGACGGGGGGGAAGAGGGGGGAAAUUUGGGGAAUGGGGGAAAGCCUUACGCCGCCAUGGCGGGUGAAUGAUGAAGGUUUUAGGAUUGGAAAAUUCUUUCCCCGGGGGAGAAAAUGACGGUACCCGGAGAAGAAGCCCCGGCUAACUUCG